GGAAGGGGAUCUGAGGAAGGAAGGAAGACUGAUCAGCAGAAAAAGGUGCCUGCUGCUUCUCUGAACAUAAAAGGAAGGAAGGGAGUCCCAGUCUUGUUGAGUUGAGAAUAUAAGAGCUCCAGAACCACUUGAAGAGAAGACAGAGGCCACAGACACUUUUAAGGGUAUAAGAUAGAGGCCUAGAGUCCCACUGCUGAGGCUUGUGUCACCCUAGGACUACCCUUGGCCUUAGACUAGUGGAGUUCCAAGUUCCUCCUUUUCCUAGGAACUGGCCAAGACUCCUGAGGAAGGGGCCUAGUCUGGUGCUGCUCUGCAGAUGUUUCUGGGGGACCCCAUGGCACUGUCCUGUUCCCAUCCAGUAAGUUUUGGCCCAUAGACAUACUUUGAAUUAGAAGAGACAUGGACACAACUUACCAGUUUUCCCAACACAGGGAACUGCAAGAGAACAAAGUAACACAAUUAGGUUAAGUAGCAAAAAGAGCUUUCUGACAAGGAGGCCUGUCACUUCAGCAAUGGGGACUUACACCCAUUCAACCAACCACCCGGCCACCAAACCUCCUAGCCACCCAUCCACACAGCCAUCCAACCAUCCAACCACAUAACCACUCAACCACCAAACAACCCAGCCAUCAGCCAUCCAACCACCCAACCAUCCAACCAUCCAACCACCCAACCACCCAACCACCCGGCCACUUGACUACUCAACGUUUGUGCUGGACGUACUCCCUAGAACUCUUUGCCCUAUCACAGUUCAAAUGUUGCCUUCUCAAACAGGUCUUCCCUGGGACUCCAAUCAAAAGAAUUUUCCCCAAUCACUAAAACAAUGCCCCAUUGUAUUAUCUUCAAAACACUUAUCACUAUUUGAAUUUAUCUUAUUCAUUAAAUUGCCUACAUGUUAUCACCUCUCUCUCUGGCUAGAAUAUAAGCUCCAUAGUAGCAGGGACUCUGCUUAUUUUACUCAUUGCUAUAUUUUCUAUGCCCAAGACCUGUGCCUGGAACAUAGUCUGUGUUCAGUAAGCAUCUGCUGAAUAAAUGCAUGAAUGUUUUCCUUUGCAUCCCAUUGUACGAGGUGGGAAGCAAAAAGUAGAAAACAUAGGACUAGACUCUUGUACGAAUGUGCCUGAGGGUCCUACCUCCAACAUCUACAGGAGAACCCAUAUAGCAAGGGCAGGACCUGAUUCUUGUGGUCCCAUCUCUCCACAGAGCUCUGGCAAAAAGGGUAUGGAAGUGACCAGACUGAGGAGGAUAAGUCCCCUGAAAGAGUAAUCAUUAAAGGAUGUGAGACAUUAUCAGGCAGCAUGGAUGAAUGAGAGAACUACAAACAAACUGGAUGCAUCCCACAUCAUGCUUGCAUCUUGGAUGUGCUACAUUCAUGUUUUUAAAUGAGUGAAUGUGUGAGAACAGGUGACCUGGGAAGAGGGGCCAACUCACAAAAUGAUGACAGAUAUGGUUAGAUAGGUUUGAAUAGCCCAAACAAUGGAAGACCUGAAAUUGAAGGUCAUAGCUGGAUAUGAAGCAGUGAAGAAUCUUCUGGACUUUGGGGCAAGGUGUGAAACAAUGAAUGAAUGUAGGGCUGAGUGCAGUCAGUCCAGCCAAUCCUCAUACAUUUACUUGUGUCCUGCAUUGCUGGCAUGUCCUAGGUAUUUUACAUAACACCAAAAAAAAAAUGCAAGAAUGGCCUUGGGAAGGGUGGGUGAAAACCCUCUAAGAGCAGAUGUUUGGCUCUGUCACAUGGUAUCAUCUUUGCUUUCUACACUACUUUGGACACAGGUGGAAUCUUUCAGCUCAAUUCUCUAUUCAGCUCAGGGUCAGCUCAGUCAUAUGCUCUCAAGAGUGUGCAGAACAAUGAGUCUCUUCUUUAUCAUCCCUCCAUCUCCACCCCUAACCCCCAUCUAUGAGCUCGGUGUAGUGGAAAGCAUGCAGGAUUUGGAAUCAGAUGACCUGGACUUGAGUCAUGAAUUUGCCUCUUUCUGUACGACCUUGAACAAGUUGUCUAAGUUCCAAGAGCCUUCAAUAUCUCAUUCUGUCAUAUCACAUAAUAGAAAUGAUAAUAGUCAUUUUUUUCUUACAGUGUAGUUGUGAAGGUUAUGUUGACCCACUGCCUGGGAAAGUGGUUACUACAUUAACUGAAAGCAGAAAGAAGGCCUGACCUCAGAGUGACAGAGACCUUACUCUGUAGUUAUGUCUUCCUUCCCUUCCCCACCUCACUGGAAAACAAUUGUGCAGCUACAAAGUGCUAAACAAACAGGGUUGAGACUACUGAAGCCAAAAACAAGACAGAAGGCACUCAGGAAGCAUAGAUGCACUUAAAAUGAGCUCCUGUCCCCAAAUCUCAAUGACUUGCUCCCCAUGGUACUGCAAGAUCUUGGAGGUGGGAUUACAAAAUUGGUUUCUGCAAUCAAAACAGCAGCCAACUGGGAACAUACACAGGGGGUGACACCUGCUUACAGCAGUUCCUGCAAUGAGGGCCCAGGGACCUCCAUUAGCUAUAGGCUGAAGAUGAGGUGACAGUAUCAUGAAGUGGCCAAGAGCUAUGGUCAAACCAAGUUGCGUAAUAGAAUUCCGAAAAAUGAAGGCAGGAGCCCCUGCCAACUCUAGGAGCAGGAUAAUUUCCUCUUAAAGUUUCUGAGGGAUCGGGAGAUAUUUAUCUGGGAAAGAUGCAACAGAGGAAAGACACAAAAUACUUGGUGGGCUAAGCUUAAAAGAAGGGGGAGACUUAUUCUGAGUUACUUUAUAGGACAGAAAUGGAAACUAGAGGGAUCAUGGAGGCAGAUUUCGGCUCAACAUGAAGAACUCUCUCACCACUGAGCUCUAGCACUGUGGAACAGGCUGCAGUGCCAAGCUGCAGCAGUCACAUUGCUGGGAGGGCUGUAUGGGACCCCAUGACACCUCCUAUGGACGCUGUGUGAGAAUGCGGGGAGCAGCCUCCAGUGGUAGGAGGGAAGUUGGCUAAUGUUCAGCUCAGAAGAAAAUUAAGCCUAAUUUCCCAAACUUUAAAUACAUAUUUCACAUUCAGCCAGGUCCCCACAUGCUCAAUGUCAGGAUUCCUUUCCUCCCGGAGCCCUGACAGCCAAUAAUAGUAAUAGCCACCAAUUUAUUAUGACCACACCCUGCUCUUGAGAGAGGAAAUAGCAGCUCUACACUUAUGGUAAGAUAAAUGUUGCUACACACCCAGCCCCAGUGUCUGUGUUUUAGGCUGUUUUUCCAGGGUCCCUGAGCAUCAAGUGGGACCAAAUUUGCUGGUGCUGGAUUCUCCAUUACACUGUGCACCAGUCAGCCGGUCACUGAUUCCCUUCCUCUCCUCAUUUGCUGUCUGUCAUCCUCGUCCUGGGUUCCAAGCUGGAACACUCUCAGACUGUAUCUAGACAAGUCCAAGGGCUGUUCCUUUUACAAGGUAGUGCCGGUAGUGCCAUUUGCCCCUGGGAGUCUUCUGCCUGGAGUAUAUCCAGGCAUUAGGCUAUCCUGUCCCCGCCUCAGUGUGAGCAUUAGACCUUUUCAUUUGUCCAAAUGGCCAUUCAUAGAACACACGAGUAGCAUGCUAUGCUGGAGAAGGAACAUUGAGUGGAAGGGGCAUUUUCCUCACAGGGUCAAAUUCUCACAAACUCUGUCCAGGAAGAGGUUAUAUUUAGGAACAGUUUUGCUUUUCUAGUUCAAGGAAUACAAAUAGCAAGCAAGCUAUUGGGACCAAGAAUUAAACAAAAAGUAGGUCCACUUGGAAACUGUAAAGUGAAACAAAAUAUAUGCCAAAUUAUUUCUUUUAGGUAUAAGGGGGGUGACACUGGCUGAGACUGAGCUGGGUCUGGGGGAGCCCAGUGACCCUCUGCGUGCAAUCCUCUACCCUUAGACCAGCUCUCUUAGUUACAAGUAGCCUGCAUGAGAAGAAAUGGAGAGAAGAGAGAGAGAGACAUGGAUCAGACAAUGGAGUUGAUUCUUCAAACCAGCCCCAUGGAUCUGAAACAGCUCCCAACAGAGAGAAGAUGUAGGCGGAAGAGAGACAGUCAAUUUGAAAAGGGCUUUGGUUACUCAGAGCACAGGCCUUUCAACCAGGUGAGAGGUCUGGCCAUUGUUACCUGGUUCUAAGAAAAUGCUGAGGCUCCAUAAAAAUAUGUCACCCUGUAAAAUUCCACCUCCCAUUGCUGAGCAAAAUGCCUGGGACUGUUUCCCCUCAUUUCCCUGACUCCUUCCCUGUUGCCCCCAGCAGCCUCCUUCCCUCCUGCAACCUCCAUUUCCUUUUGAGACAGCUCUGAUUAGUAUUUUAACCUGAUGUCACAAGGUAGAAAUGUCAUUGGGAAGUUAGGGGACUUUGUAAUGUGAUUUUCUGCCUCCCUAAUUUAUCUCUGACAUAUCAAAGGGCUGCGCUGCCAAGGACCCAGGACUACGGGGUAGGAAACACUGAGGAGUUUCUCCUACCCCAGUGCCCAUCUCUCCCAAGCAUGCCCAGGUGCACACACCUGUCUUGAGCUCCAGCCACAAACCCACUGGAAUUGGGAAAGCUUCAACAAGCCUAUGCCAGGGAACUAGGAUGGAACAUGGUUAUGGGACACCUCCAUUAGAAAGGUCCAGAGACUGCCCGAAUUUGCUUGGCUUCAGCGUCAUUCAGCCUGGGAGACAGCGCAGCACUGUAAAACUAAGAUCAUCUACCCCUUGACCACCGAGUGACCUCCCAGCUUCCAAGGAGCUCCUGUCUCCAGAGAUCUCCUGAGUUGUCUUCAACUUCGUUCAGCUGCAGGUCCUGUGGGUGUGUGGAGUCCCUGCAGGGCAGCAGCUGGGGCAGG
This is a long non-coding RNA of Homo sapiens (human), 4775 nucleotides long. RefSeq lists it as uncharacterized. The transcript is spliced from 3 exons. The record is from RefSeq and is a predicted model, not a curated record. Lineage: Eukaryota; Metazoa; Chordata; Mammalia; Primates; Hominidae.